AAGGGCGACACCUACGCUAAACUAUUUACCUGGUCGGUAAGAAAGGAAAUGCUCUUCCGGUAUGUCCGUAAUAUGUACGAGCAAUCGCGCCGGUGACAACGCGGUUAUUAAUUUUUAAACGUUCUUUGUGUUUUUUUUUUCUUUUUUUUUAAUUUUAUUUUAACGAGG
Long non-coding RNA from Vespa mandarinia (Asian giant hornet), 168 nucleotides. Lineage: Eukaryota; Metazoa; Arthropoda; Insecta; Hymenoptera; Vespidae. The record is from RefSeq and is a predicted model, not a curated record.